UACAGAGGUCCCGAGCGUUGUUCGGAUUCACUGGGCGUAAAGGGUGCGUAGGUGGCCUAAAAAGUUUGAUGUGAAAGCUCAGGGCUUAACCCUGAAAUGGCAUUGAAUACUGUUGGGCUGGAGGUUUGGAGGGGGGACUGGAAUUCUUGGUGUAGCAGUGAAAUGCGUAGAUAUCAAGAGGAACACCAGUGGCGAAGGCGAGUCCCUGGACAACACCUGACACUGAGGCACGAAGGCCGGGGGAGCAAACAGG
This 253-nucleotide ribosomal RNA is filed under the name uncultured bacterium. Its description in RNAcentral is "partial 16S ribosomal RNA". It matches the Rfam family "Bacterial small subunit ribosomal RNA", at positions 524 to 776 of the family's 1533-position model. The record is from RNAcentral.